AGGGCGUACGGCGAAUGCCUUGCCACUCGAAACUGAAGAAGGACGCGCCAAACUGCGAAAAGCUCCGUGAAGCUGUAAGGAAGCGAAGAAGCGGAGGUGUCCGAAUGGGGGAACCCGGCAGCAGACAUGAGCUGUCAUCUGCAGGUGAAUACAUGGCCUGCAAGAGAGGUACCCGGCGAACUGAAACAUCUAAGUAGCCGGAGGAAAAGAAAACAACAGUGAUUCCCUGAGUAGCGGCGAGCGAAAGGGGAGAAGCCCAAACCGGUUGAAGGACCGGGGUUGAAGGACCAUGACAUGGCAAGAACGAGGAUAGGAGAACGGGAUCGAAAGCCCGGCCGAAGAAGGUGAAAGCCCUGUAAUCGAAAUCCGAGCAAAGCCUAAUGGGAUCCUGAGUACGGCGAGACACGAGAAAUCUUGUCGGAAGCAGGCGGGACCAUCCGCCAAGGCUAAAUAUAAACGAGUGAGCGAUAGUGAACCAGUACCGUGAGGGAAAGGUGAAAAGAACCGCGGGAGCGGAGUGAAAGAGAACCUGAAACCGUAUGCCUACAAGAAGUCAGAGCCCGUUAAGGGGUGAUGGCGUGCCUUUUGUAGAAUGAACCGGCGAGUUGCGACAGACUGCGAGGUUAAGGAGGAAAGACCGGAGCCGAAGCGAAAGCGAGUCUUAAGAGGGCGAAAGUAGGAUGUUGCAGACCCGAAACCGGGUGAUCUAGCCAUGAGCAGGUUGAAGUUGAGGUGAAACUCAAUGGAGGACCGAACCGACUACCGUUGAAAAGUUAGCGGAUGACUUGUGGCUAGGGGAGAAAUUCCAAUCGAACCCGGAGAUAGCUGGUUCUCCCCGAAAUAGCUUUAGGGCUAGCGUCGGAAAGAACCUUAGUGAAGGUAGAGCACUGAAUGUGUGAUGGCCCCAUCCCGGGGUACUGAAUACAAUCAAACUGCGAAUGUCAUUAAGGAUGUCCGGCAGUCAGACUGUGAGUGAUAAGGUCCAUGGUCAAGAGGGAAACAGCCCAGACCGCCAGUUAAGGUCCCAAAAUACAGGCUAAGUGGAAAAGGAUGUGGGGAUGCCCAGACAACUAGGAGGUUGGCUCAGAAGCAGCCAUCCUUUAAAGAGUGCGUAACAGCUCACUAGUCGAGUGACCCUGCGCCGAAAAUGUACCGGGGCUAAGCCUGAUACCGAAACUGCGGAUUGUAGGAAACUAUAGUGGUAGGGGAGCGUUGUAUACGAGCAGAAGCCGUACCGUGAGGAGCGGUGGAUUGUAUAGAAGUGAGAAUGCCGGUGUGAGUAGCGAGAUGUAGGUGAGAAUCCUACACACCGAAAGCCCAAGGAUUCCAGGGGAAGGUUCGUCCGCCCUGGGUAAGUCGGGACCUAACGCGAGGCCGAAAGGCGUAGUGGAUGGAAAGCAGGCGAAAGAUUCCUGCACCCGUAUAUGGAGCGAAGGAGUGACGGAGACGGAUAGUGUGACCCUCUUAAUGGAUUGAGGGCGAAGCGAAGCGGCUGGUUACCAGGCAAAUCCGGUAACCAUAAGGCUAGAGCGUGACAGGUAAGCGAAAUCUUAGGAAAGUAGCGAAGCACAUGAUGACGGCUUCCAGGAAAAGCUUCUGGCAAUGCAUAUGCGGCCCGUACCAAAACCGACACAGGUGGGCAGGGAGAGAAUCCCGAGGUGAGCGAGAGAACUGUUGCCAAGGAACUCGGCAAAAUGACUCCGUAAGUUAGCGAGAAGGAGUGCUUAAGCAAUUAAGCCGCAGUGAAGAGGCCCAAGCGACUGUUUAACUAAAACACAGCUCUCUGCGAAGUCGCAAGACGAAGUAUAGGGGGUGACACCUGCCCGGUGCUGGAAGGUUAAGAGGAUCUGUUAAGAGCGAUCUGAAGCAGUGAUCCGAAGCCCCAGUGAACGGCGGCCGUAACUAUAACGGUCCUAAGGUAGCGAAAUUCCUUGUCAGGUAAGUUCUGACCCGCACGAAAGGCGUAAUGAUUUGGGCACUGUCUCAACAGCCCGCCCGGCGAAAUUGUAGU
This 2011-nucleotide ribosomal RNA is filed under the name human gut metagenome. RNAcentral's name for it is "bacterial LSU rRNA". It matches the Rfam family "Bacterial large subunit ribosomal RNA", at positions 15 to 2044 of the family's 2925-position model. The record is from RNAcentral.